CCUACGGGAGGCAGCAGUGGGGAAUUUUGGACAAUGGGGGCAACCCUGAUCCAGCCAUGCCGCGUGAGUGAAGAAGGCCUUCGGGUUGUAAAGCUCUUUCGGCCGGAACGAAAUCGCGCACGUGAAUAACGUGCGUGGAUGACGGUACCGGAGUAAGAAGCACCGGCUAACUACGUGCCAGCAGCCGCGGUAAUACGUAGGGUGCGAGCGUUAAUCGGAAUUACUGGGCGUAAAGCGUGCGCAGGCGGUUCGCUAAGUCAGACGUGAAAGCCCCGGGCUUAACCUGGGAACGGCGUUUGAAACUGGCGGGCUCGAGUACGGCAGAGGGGGGUGGAAUUCCACGUGUAGCAGUGAAAUGCGUAGAUAUGUGGAGGAACACCGAUGGCGAAGGCAGCCCCCUGGGCCGAUACUGACGCUCAUGCACGAAAGCGUGGGGAGCAAACAGGAUUAGAUACCCUGGUAGUCCACGCCCUAAACUAUGUCAACUAGUUGUCGGGGAAGCAAUUCCUUGGUAACGCAGCUAACGCGUGAAGUUGACCGCCUGGGGAGUACGGUCGCAAGAUUAAAACUCAAAAGGAUUGACGG
Molecule: ribosomal RNA, 585 nt
Filed under: uncultured bacterium
Lineage: Bacteria
Description: bacterial SSU rRNA
Rfam family: Bacterial small subunit ribosomal RNA
Source: RNAcentral